Molecule: ribosomal RNA, 200 nt
Filed under: uncultured Diversispora
Lineage: Eukaryota; Fungi; Glomeromycota; Glomeromycetes; Diversisporales; Diversisporaceae
Description: partial small subunit ribosomal RNA
Rfam family: Eukaryotic small subunit ribosomal RNA
Source: RNAcentral
CCAAUAGCGUAUAUUAAAGUUGUUGCUGUUAAAAAGCUCGUAGUUGAACUUCGGGAUUUGCCCAUUGGUCAGGCUUAACUGUCUGCACUGGUGUGACGAGUUCCUAUCUUCUGAGGAAUCUCCAUGUCAUUCAGUUGGUGUGGGGGGAAAUCAGGACUGUUACUUUGAAAAAAUUAGAGUGUUUAAAGCAGGCAAUCCGU